AAAUCAUGGUUUGGACUCCUAUCCAAAUAUUCUUUGUACCUCUCCCAAGCUUCAAAAAGUUGUUCCCCAUUACAUUGUUUGAACUCAUAAAUCUGAUCAUGAAUUU
This is a small nucleolar RNA of Lycium ferocissimum, 106 nucleotides long. The record is from RefSeq and is a predicted model, not a curated record. NCBI's taxonomy places the organism in Eukaryota, Viridiplantae, Streptophyta, Magnoliopsida, Solanales, Solanaceae.